Molecule: long non-coding RNA, 322 nt
Organism: Dermacentor albipictus
Lineage: Eukaryota; Metazoa; Arthropoda; Arachnida; Ixodida; Ixodidae
Source: RefSeq, a predicted model, not a curated record
UGCAGAAUGCGCGUAGUGCCGGUAGCUUCGUGAGCGCUGUGCUUUUGACGCUUCGUUCGCGUUGAAGCGAGAGAUGCACGAACGUCAAUUCGAUCGCUGCUGCUGCCGGGAUUCCUUACUCCAGCAUCUUGACAGUGAGUUUCCGCGCUCAUGGAGUGAGGCUGUGAGAUGUCAGCUGACCGACGAGGUCAUGGAUGUCUACAUAGAGAGAAGCAAGCUGGCACCUGCAUUGGAAUGCCUGCUUGAGAAUGCAAACGACUGAAGGCUCUUUGCGCGAUGGGCUGGAGAGAAUAAGUGAUAAUAAAGGGUAAGCGCGUGGUGG